This 561-nucleotide long non-coding RNA is filed under the name Helianthus annuus (common sunflower). Lineage: Eukaryota; Viridiplantae; Streptophyta; Magnoliopsida; Asterales; Asteraceae. The record is from RNAcentral.
UGUUUGGCUGUGUGCUUCAGCGAUUUGAAUAGAAUAGAUCUGUGUGAUCUUGGAGGAUUCUGUGUGAAUCGAGAAAAAUAGAUCUGUGAUAUUUGAAGAUAAAUGUUCAAAUAUGUAGUAACCAUUGUUGUUUCCUACAUCCCUUAUGGUGACCAAAAUGUUCAUAGGAUGCGGUGAUAUACCACAUCGCUAUGUAUGACAUCUAUUUUCAUACACAAGAUAAGUCUUCUCAUCACUCGACCGAUCAGAUUCGGUAUCUACGUUCACGCGUGCCACGCGGACGUAGAUAAGUUCUUGCCGGUGGGAGUAUUUGAUAAGGGAUCAUGAAUCCGAUUUGUGUGUGGAUGGAUAGAGACGGUCGUGGUUCAUUCUCAUUCCAUAUUCAAGAGAUUUUGAAGAGUUUUGGACCUAUCACGACGUUAAAAUUGAAGGUUCAUUUGGUUUAAAGAUGUUGAAUCCAUAGCCACUACCGUGGAAUAAAGUAGAGGAAUAAAGCAAAAACUAGAGGAAUAAAGUUAUUCCGAUUCAAAUGCAAAUUACCGAUUCAAAUGCAGGGCCGGC